CGGCGGCGGCGGCAUUAGCUAACUUCUUAAAAGCUUUAUAUUUUAGAAGAUGGAAGACCUGGAUGCUUCAUACUUUGUAUAUGGAUGCCUCAUGUUACGAAGUUUCCGUCAGUCACAUGUCCAAUGUCCUUGACCUCAUUUUCAUGGUUCAGUGACUACUUGAAAAAAAAGUUCAGAUUUUUUGUAAUGUUAAAUUCUCUCUUAUUAUAAGUAAUAGGAUAACUAUAUUUGGUAUGUGCGUACCUUGCAAGGUCCUCAUGCCCGUCAGACAGUUUUCACUUGACCUCGACCUCAUUUCAUGGAUCAGUGAACAAGGUUAAGUUUUCGUGGUCAAGUCCAUAUCUCAGAUACUAUAAGCAAUAGGUCUAGUAUAUUCGGUGUAUGGAAGGACUGUAAGGUGUACAUGUCCAACUGGCAGGUGUCAUCUGACCUUGACCUCAUUUUCAUGGUUCAGUGGUCAAAGUUAAGUUUUUGAGUUUUGGUCUUUCUUUCUAAUACUGCAUGCAAUAGGUCAGCUAUAUUUGGUGUAUGGAAUGAUUGUAAGGUGUACAUGUCUAGCUGGCAGGUGUCAUCUUACCUUGACCUCAUUUUCAUGGUUCAGUGGUCAAAGUUAAGUUUUUGAGUUUUGGUCUUUUUUUCUAAUACUAUAUGCAAUAGUUCAACUAUAUUUGGUGUAUGGAAAUAUUUUAUGAUCUAUAUGUCAGUUACGCAGGUUUUAUUUGACCUUGACCUCAUUUUCAAGGUUCAUUGCUCAGUGUUAAGUUUUUGUGUUUUCGUCUGUUUUUCUUAAACUAUAAGCAAUAGGUCAACUAUAUUUGUUGUAUGGAAGAAUUGUUAGCUGUACAUGCCUGCCUAGCAUGGUUCAUCUGACCUUGACCUCAUUUUCAUGGUUCAUUGGUCAAUGUUUAGUUUACUUGGUUAAUGUUAAGUUUAUGUGACAGUUGUAAUAAAGCUUUAUAUUUAGGACUAUCAACAUAAUAUCAAUGAUUAGUAAAGAAGGCGAGACAUUUCAGCGUGUGCACUCUUGUUAAUAUAUUAAAAUGUUUAUUCAAACGCAAUCAAAAAUUGUUUUGUCCAUAUAUGAUCAAAUAUGAUUUUAUGAAUUUUAUGGUCAAUAAUUUCUUUAUCUUUGUCGAGCCUAUGACUUUUGUCGAAAAAGCGAGACAUAGCGAUCCUACAUUCCGUCUUCGUCGGCGGCAGCGGCGUCCACAAAUAUUCACUCUGUGGUUAAAGUUUUUGAAAUUUUAAUAACUUUCUUAAACUAUCCUGGAUUUCUACCAAACUUGGACAGAAGCUUGUUUAUGAUCAUAAGAUAAUAUCCAAAAGUAAAUUUUGUAAAAAAAAAAAAAAAAAA
Mytilus californianus (California mussel) is the source of this 1354-nucleotide long non-coding RNA. RefSeq lists it as uncharacterized. NCBI's taxonomy places the organism in Eukaryota, Metazoa, Mollusca, Bivalvia, Mytilida, Mytilidae. The transcript has 2 exons. The record is from RefSeq and is a predicted model, not a curated record.